Molecule: ribosomal RNA, 443 nt
Filed under: uncultured bacterium
Lineage: Bacteria
Description: bacterial SSU rRNA
Rfam family: Bacterial small subunit ribosomal RNA
Source: RNAcentral
AACGUACGCUGGCGGCACGCCUAACACAUGCAAGUCGAACGAAGUAGCAAUACUUAGUGGCAGACGGGUGAGUAACAUGUAGGUAUCUACCCUUUGGCCUGGAAUAACACGAGGAAACUUGUGCUAAUACCGGAUAAGUCUAUACGGAGAAAGCUUUAUGCACCAUUGGAUGAGCCUGCACUUGAUUAGUUUGUUGGUGGGGUAAUGGCCUACCAAGACUGUGAUCAAUAGCUGAUUUGAGAGGAUGAUCAGCCACAUUGGGACUGAGACACGGCCCAAACUCCUACGGGAGGCAGCAGUGGGGAAUCUUGCACAAUGGAGGAAACUCUGAUGCAGCGAUGCCGCGUGAGUGAAGAAGGCCCUUGGGUUGUAAAGCUCUUUCGUCGGGGAAGAAAAUGACUGUACCCGAAUAAGAAGGUCCGGCUAACUUCGUGCCAGCAAGC